AGAACGUCGUGAGACAGUUCGGUCCCUAUCUGCCGUGGGCGUAGGAUAUUUGAGGAGAUCUGUUCUUAGUACGAGAGGACCGGAAUGGACGAACCUCUAGUGUACCAGUUGUCUCGCCAGAGGCAUCGCUGGGUAGCUAUGUUCGGAAGGGAUAAGCGCUGAAAGCAUCUAAGUGCGAAGCCCACUCCAAGAUAAGAUAUCCCGUGGGUUUACCCACCUAAAGGCUCCUUGUAGACUACAAGGUCGAUAGGUCGCAGGUGUAAGCGCAGCAAUGCGUUCAGCCGAGCGAUACUAAUAAGCCGUGAGGCUUGAUC
This 314-nucleotide ribosomal RNA is filed under the name Gemmatimonadota bacterium. RNAcentral describes it as "bacterial LSU rRNA". It matches the Rfam family "Bacterial large subunit ribosomal RNA", at positions 2613 to 2925 of the family's 2925-position model. Lineage: Bacteria; Pseudomonadati; Gemmatimonadota. The record is from RNAcentral.